Molecule: long non-coding RNA, 3781 nt
Filed under: Homo sapiens (human)
Lineage: Eukaryota; Metazoa; Chordata; Mammalia; Primates; Hominidae
Description: PREDICTED lncRNA (TCONS_00133858)
Source: RNAcentral
GAGCAGAUUCUUACUAAACUUGUGCAAAUAACUUUAUUACCAUAAACAUAUGAAUAUUCAUGAAUAGAUUCCCAAUUCUGGGGCACUCAGAGAGCAAAAGCAAAUGUUUCAAUUUUUGUUUACAAAAGUAUACUUUACCAAUUGCUGAAGAAAAAAAUUCAUAAAUCUGGAGGAUAAAACAUUCAAAAAAUCAGCACAUUUUCCAAUAAAAAAUUAUGAAAACAUUAUCCUUUUGUUAUUUAGUCCAAUGAAAUGGAGUUCUUUUCUUCUUUGUCUUGAAUUUCAUGAAGGUAUCAGCCUGUUCAUUAAAAUUUUGAAAGUUCUUAGUCCAGUGGUAUGAUCUUGAAGUUAUCAGGAACUUGUAUUCAAGAGUCCUUGUCAGAGUCUUUUCCAUAAAUCUCCUUGAAGAAAAAGCAAUUUUGGACUGUAGGUGAUUGUAAGUAGUUUGAGGAAGAAUCAAAGCAACUGUCUGGGAAAGACAAAGAUUUAAACUGACUAUGGUUAAAAAUCUAAUGAGAAUUUAUUAUGGUAAAGACACAGCUCACAUAGAAAUCCAGUUACUUCUGUGGCAUAUGACACUAUGGUAACAUAUUUGAUUUCCAGAAAUUUCAUAUAAUUUUUAGAAUACUCAUUUAAAAAAAUUUUUUUUUUUGAAAUGGAGUCUCACUCUGUCACCCAGGCUGGAGUGCAGUGAUGCGAUCUCAGUUCACUGCAAGCUCUGCCUCCCGGGUUCAUGCCAUUCUCCUGCCUCAGCCUCCUGAGUAACUGGGACUACAGGUGCCUGCCACCACGCCCGGCAAAUUUUGUUUUUGCAUUUUUAGUAGAGACGGGGUUUCACCGUGUUAGCCAGGAUGGUCUCGAUCUCCUGACAUCGUGAUGUGCCCACCUCGGCCUCCCAAACUGCUGGGAUUGCAGGCGUGAGCCAUCGCGCCCAGCGUAGAAUACUCAUAUUAUUAACAUUCCCAUAAAUAUUAUUUAGAGAAGGUUUAGCCUCACUUAUCCUUUAUUUGAAAAUGUUUUCUACACAAUUUAAUAUAUCAAAUAAGGUGGCUUUUCCAUUCAGCUUCUGUUUCUCAAGAGGAUUACUGAGUUCUUGGUGUAGCCCAUUCAUAAAUAGGGCCAAAAAUGUAUAGUCUUAUGUAUGUUGAAAAAGGUCCUUAGGUAAUUCCAGUACUUCUAGCUGAAAAUCAUUCAUUUAGUUUUAAGUUCUACCUAUUACAACAAGAGUUCUCCAUCCUUGUUACAUGUUAGUAGUGUCAGGGAAGACUUAAAAAUUACCAAUGCCUUGGUCCCUCUCCAGACCUUUAAACUGGAACUAAUGGGUGGGGCUUGAGCAUCCACUUUUAAAAAUGCUUUCCAGUGAUUCCAAUGUGUAGCUCUAUUUCCCAUCAGAUUUCUCUGAUUUCUUGUGGCAUUCAAUUUUUUCUAUUUUGGUAUCAUGAUUAUUUUCAGGUCUCAUUUCCUGUCUUAGGCUUUAUGUCUCCUGGGGUAGGGACCUUGCCUUCUUCAUUUCUGUAUGUUUUUUGAACACAUGAACUGGUCAUCAGGAAAAGAUCUCAACCACACAUAGGUUGUGUUCUGAGUCUCAGGUUCACAUGUUAAUCCUAAAGUCUCCGUUCUCCAUGAGGUCAGAUGUUGCCUGUGAUGAAGGGUGUCGUUAAGUCUGCAGUGCAGAUGGUGGAGGGGAUUUCACUCUGUUUUUAGACAUAGCAUUGGAACUAAGAAUUUUAUGUCUAUAUGGGUGAAGGGGCAGGGAUGUGUAGGAAGACAGUUCUAAUUAGGAUGAAGGAAUUAUACUAGGAAGUAGAGGUAAAGGAAGUGAGAAGGCUUACUAAAUAGAAGAAAUGUGAACUUAUCAAAUAGGCUAGAGUAGACCCCUGCAGAUUCUUGAUUAAGUGAAUUAACUAGAUUUUAGAAAGGUAAUGAGGCAGUCAUAUGCAAGGAAGGUUUCAAAGUCUGGCCACAAGAAGUCAAGCAAUACUUUGAGAAGUGGUUGAGCUUUAUGGGAGUGUAGAGAAUUACACUAUUGAGAGAUGUUAAAAAUAAUGAAGAGGGUUUCACCAUGUGAAAUUGUGUUUCUCAUUUGAAUCUGAGAAACAAAUGAGCAGAGGCUGGAGAUAAUUAUGUCUAAAAGACAGUGGGGUACAGGGAGCAUAAAGGCCAGGGAGAAAGGGAACUGCAGGAAUUAGUUCUGAGAAGCAGGAGUUUAGUGGAGGAAGGAGGAGAUGCAGUCCCAGAUACAAGCAAAUAAGUCUUUUCCCUCUCCCAAGCAUGGCAGUCAGCCCUGCAGGAACCAGGAUAAGAGAAAAGGCCAUCAUACCUGCCAGUCUUCCUGAAAUACAGAAAUGACUUCACGGCUGCUAUAUUGGAUUAAGGAGAGGAAGACGUCCUAUUCCUGAAGGAGCUGUCAUGGAAAGAAAAGUAAAGAAGGAAUGAAGGUGAUGUUAUUUUACAUGGGGGAGCCUCAGGAAGAGGCAUGUAGCAUGAGGUACUCUAUAAUUGUUUCUUCAAGUACUACAUUAUUCCUCUUGGGAAAUUGAUGGGAGAUGAUUAUAUUCUUGCAGUUUUUUUUUUCCCUCUCACCAUGUUUCUAGGAUGGUGAUCAGUCCUCUGUCAAAUCUCUACUGCACUCAGAUAUUUUGGAAGGCUUUCAGACAUAAGAAAGGCUGAUUGCUAUUUUCUAUGUCAUUAGAACUUACCACCUUUUCACCUUUUCAUGGUUGCAUCUUUUUCUCAGUCUCUCUGUUGUGGCAGCCAUGAAUGAGACUCUGUCAGGUCUCCAUGGCAGGGAGCUGAUUGACAGAAGGCCCACGUCCGUGCAUUUCACAUUCAUCACCUCCUUUGCACAGAAAGCUUCUUUCCCACAGGCUCCCAGGAAGGGCGUGAAAGCAAGCCUAGUUCUCUGAGGCUCUCUUUAACUCUAAAGGGUGACUGGUUGGAGGACUCCCCCUCAGCCUUGCAAAAACUCUUAGAACUGCAUUGGUACCUAAAACUUCUUUCUCUUUCUUUUUCACAGGAAUCAGCUCUGCAUAGUGGUCUGUGGGUUCUCCCAUACUGCCUUCAUGUCUGCCCCACAUUCCCUCACAGGUGUCCUCCCUGAUAAAUUAUCUUGUAUGUCUAAUCCCAUCUUGGGUGCAUCUCAGUUGGUAAAAACUAACAUAUCAGGCUUGAUUCUUUGCACUUAGCUUUUUUUCCUUCUCUCCCACAAGUAGUCAGUAACCAUGUCCUAGUGUUUUAUGUGUUACCUCUUUUUCCAUAUAUAUGGAAAAAGGUAGGUACUGUUGAGGGGCAUUUCCUAUGUGCCAGGCCCUGUGCUAAAUACUUUACCUGUAUCUCAUUUAAUCCACACAAUAACCCUGUCAGGUAGAAAUUAUUUCCACUUUGCUGAUGAAAAGACAGAAGCUUAUCAUGGUGUAAAAACUUUCCUGGUGUCAUAUGGCUAGUGACAGGUGGAUCUGAAAUUUGAUUCUAGGACUAUUUGACCUCAAGGCUAAUGAUGAUGGUAGUAAUAUAGCAGCUGACAUUGGCUCCUCUGUGUGGCAUCUUGUUUCAUUGAUUGCAUUAAACAUUUAAAAGAAUGGUAUGAAGAAAGCACUCUCAUUGCAAUUUUCAGGUGAGGAAUCAGAGGUUCAGAGAAGUUGAGUCUUGUGCAAGAAAUUUAUAACUGUAAACUCUUACAUUAAAAAAGAAGAAAGAUCUCAGGUCAACAACCUACUUUAAUACUUCAGGAUAUGAAAGAAGAACAAACUAAACCCAAGCACAGUGAAUGAGGGAAAUAAUA